RNAcentral lists this ribosomal RNA (253 nucleotides) under uncultured bacterium. RNAcentral's name for it is "partial 16S ribosomal RNA". It matches the Rfam family "Bacterial small subunit ribosomal RNA", at positions 524 to 776 of the family's 1533-position model. The record is from RNAcentral.
UACAGAGGUCUCAAGCGUUGUUCGGAUUCAUUGGGCGUAAAGGGCGCGUAGGCGGCGCGGUAAGUCGGGUGUGAAAUCUCGGAGCUUAACUCCGAAACUGCAUUCGAUACUGCCGUGCUUGAGGACUGGAGAGGAGACUGGAAUUUACGGUGUAGCGGUGAAAUGCGUAGAUAUCGUAAGGAAGACCAGUGGCGAAGGCGGGUCUCUGGACAGUUCCUGACGCUGAGACGCGAAAGCGUGGGGAGCAAACAGG